This 973-nucleotide long non-coding RNA is filed under the name Pongo abelii (Sumatran orangutan). Its description in RNAcentral is "lncRNA (ENSPPYG00000034801.1)". Lineage: Eukaryota; Metazoa; Chordata; Mammalia; Primates; Hominidae. The record is from RNAcentral.
UUUGUUUUAAAGAGUAGUAACAUGCAGCUUGCUUGGCUAUUAAAUUGGAAACGGAUUCCUCUCUGACUUGGCCACUGAUAUUGGGCGUGACCUUGGACAAAUAAUUUUGUUUCUUUGGGCUCAGUUUCUACAUAUGUAAAACGGGAAGGUUUCUCUUAAAAACUAAUCCUGAAGGGUUUCUUGUCAACAAAAAGAUGCAAGCUGUAGGAGGCAGAAAGCGUGGGUUCAAGUUCGAAAUUUGCCCCUGAAUUAGGACUCUUGACACAUUUCUAACCCAUCCAAGUAGAGAUCGUUCUUUUACAUUUAUGUGUUAUACAGGUGCAUUUUAAUGGUUACCAGGUUGCCACGUAUUUGAAGUGGUGUGAGAGCUACUCGUUUGGAACCGUUGUGGAUUUUCAAAUAGGAAAAUCAAAAGGCCCAAAGAGACAGCUCACUGUUUUGGGUGUAGUUCAUCUGAUAAGGAAUCAAAAAAUACAUUACGACUUUUAUGUGAACUUGUGCAAAUGUGUGAAACAAAUUAAGGUGACAGGGCAGAAGCAAGAAAAUGAAGCUCAAAUGAAAUCCACCUCUCAAAGCAGGUGACCAUGCUUUGGGAUUUUCAUAGUUUGAGUAAUUCCUAUGGGCUCUACCACCCAGCGAGUUAAAGAAGACAAGAUUCCACCCCCAGGGGGUUGUGGUUCUGGGAAUGUGAGCAGCUUGUUUUCAUGAGAUCUGCACCUUGAUCUGGCCUGCUAUUAGGAUCUGUGGUGGUGGUGGCUGUCUGGUUUUAGUUGUUUCUUUUAUCUUACACAGAUUUUUGUAAGUUAUUUGCAUAUAAAGGUUUUUGAAAAGUGAAUGUUUUAUGGGGGCAUCUUGCUUAUACAAAGAAAAAUUAAAACUAUUUUAAAAUAAUCACUCAUGUGUUACACUUGUCUCUUCUAAAAUAAAUGAAAGUAUUAAUGUUGUUGUCUGGAAGGAAAAUGAAGACCAGGAA